GACGAACGCUGGCGGCGUGCUUAACACAUGCAAGUCGAACGGAAAGGCCCUGCUCUUGUGGGGUGCUCGAGUGGCGAACGGGUGAGUAACACGUGAGUAAACUGCCCUUGACUUUGGGAUAACUUCAGGAAAAUGGGGCUAAUACCGGAUAGGAGCUCCUGCUGCAUGGUGGGGGUUGGAAAGUUUCGGCGGUUGGGGAUGGACUCGCGGCUUAUCAGCUGGUUGGUCGAGUAGUGGCUUACGAAGGCUUUGACGGGUAGCCGGCCUGAGAGGGUGAACGGGCACAAUACGACUGAGGGACGGAGCAGUAUCGAACGGGAGGCAGCAGGGGGGAGCAUGGCGCAGUGAGCGCAAGCCUGAGGUGGAGGCGCCGGGUGCGGAAUGACGGCCUUCGGGUUGUGAACCGCUUUCGCCUGUGAUGAGGCGGGAGUGACGGUAAUGGGUAAAGAAGCACCGGCUAACUACGUG
Molecule: ribosomal RNA, 468 nt
Filed under: uncultured bacterium
Lineage: Bacteria
Description: partial 16S ribosomal RNA
Rfam family: Bacterial small subunit ribosomal RNA
Source: RNAcentral